RNAcentral lists this long non-coding RNA (419 nucleotides) under Camarhynchus parvulus. Its description in RNAcentral is "lncRNA (ENSCPVG00000018052.1)". Lineage: Eukaryota; Metazoa; Chordata; Aves; Passeriformes; Thraupidae. The record is from RNAcentral.
CCUUGGAAAAGAAAGACUAGAAGGAAGAUUGGUGGUGUGAUAUAACCCUAGACAGAAACUAAGCACUAUGCAGCUGCCCACUCGCUUCCUGAGAGGGGGAGAACUCAAAAAAGUAUGAAGACAUCAAUGGCUUUGGAAUGUUUCAGUUUGUAUGUGAUUUCACAUUUCCCGGGUGCUGGAUCAGAGAUUCUCCUGCGGCCUGUGGUGCAGAUCAUGGUGAGGUAGCUGACUCUCAGUGGAGGUCCACGGUGGAGCAAAUAUCAACAUUGGAAGCAGGUAUCCCAUGGAGCAUCUCACCCUGGAGCAGAGGGAUGCCUGAAGGAGGCUGUGACCCCGUGGGAAGCCUGUGCUGGAGCAGGCUCCUGGCAGGACCUGUGGCCUCAUGGAGAAAGGAACCCACCCUGAAAGAGGUUUGCUAG